UCUACAUGAACAGCUCUGGGGGGUGCUUGGUUGGCUGAGGUGUCAAUGCACAGAACAGACCAGUGGAAGAAGAGAAGCAGAUACACAGAGGAGUGGGUGACUAUGAAAGGGUGAAUUCGCUUCGGCCUCAGAGUCAUUGACUUCAAGAUCUUGCCCAGAGAAGCUGUGGAUGCCCCAUUCAUGGAAGUGUUCAAAUCCAGGCUGGAUGGAGCUUUAAGCAACCUGGUCUGGAGAUAGCUUGUCCGGUGGGUCUGUACCUCCUGAGGUGCCUCCUGCACAGCCAUGAGACACCAUCUUCUGUGGAUCUCCAGAGGAGAGCUGGUGCUUCUGGGUUAAAUUCAGAGCCUGCACUUCUAGCAGCAGAAAAGUGUCAGCAGGAGCUGAUCCCAGCAGUUCAACGUAAUCACUGAAAGCAGAGAAAAUCCAGGAGAUUUCACUGGAACUGAGCAAGAGCUUGACAGCUGGCAAAUGCUAAUCAACAAGUGGCGCUGGCAGCAGGGAAUAGAGGUGUGUGCAACCCUUGUCUCUUCACCACGUGAAAGCCAUGUUGGGUAUACGUUCAUCAGCCAGUGUGGUGGCUUCUGGGGCCAGCACUGCAUCUGGAGAUCCUGAGUCUGGCAGACCCCUGAGGAAGCAAGUCAUCACAUGGUGAAGGACCAGCUGCUUUGGUAAAUUAAAAGAUCACCAUAGACCAAGUUAUUGUUGGCCAGCGGCUGUUUGAAAGCUACCAGACCUUUCCUACUUGUUGUACAUGUCUCUUUGAGACAGGAAAAUGUCUCUGCUGGGGAGUUGUGACCUGCUGGUGCUGUCACCCAGGGCAAUGGAAAACCUGCCUCCCUUGCGGCAAGAGCUGCAGAUGCCAUCCGGCUCCUUCCCUUGCUUUCAUUUUUGGAUACCAGCCAUGGGUUGCUUAUCAUUGGUCCUGAUCCCUAAAGCUGAGGUGCUGAUUCUAAUCUGCAGCUGCAGCUGGGUUUAAAUCUUGAUCUGCAAUCGGAGCUCUGGACACAGCUGAACCUGUGGUGGAGAAAGCUCCAGCUUUGUUGAAAAGUAAACAAGAAACCAGAGAAGAAAGUAACGCGAUCCAAGAAGAUCAACAACAUCGUUCUAUGAAAAUCAAUUCUAAUUCUAACCUGGUCAAUACAGAGCGGCCCCGCUUCACCAGACGGGAGAUGAAUGUUGCGUGCUUGCCCACGGGACUGUGCUGCCCGCCCUCCCCAGUGUGCUGCGGGUGUUGGUUUGCUGAAGCUGAGACAACCACAAGAUGUUUCCAUAAAGAACAGAAAAGUUGGAUUGAAUGUUCUCUCUCUUCAAAUGAAAAUACCUAUUCUUAACCUGAACCAAGGCCAGUGUCUCAUGCAACAUGGAUGAGUCAGAUUUUAAAGUUUCUGCAAUCCCUCUGAUGCUUGGAGUGAUGCAGGAUGAGUCCAGCACAUAACAUCAAUGAGGCUCCUCUGUGCUCUCAGGGUGUUCAUGUGGAGCCAGUGAUGGAGUUGCUGUUCCAAUUCAUGCAUGUAUCGCUGCUUUAUCCUUUGGGAUGAACUCAUCUGGGGCUUCGACUCAAGAAACAGCAGGAGAGAUGCUCAAAACAAGCCUGUGAAGCUGAAAAUAGCACACCCCAGUUGCUGCUGCUUUCAAGAUAAAGAUGUCACCAGUGCUUGCCUUCUUGUGCAGUGUUCAUAAAAUGAGAUUAGAGUGAUUUACAAUAGUGAAAGAUGGAACAAGACUAAGAGGAGAUGUGACUCAUUAGACAUCAUCCUGUGACUGUUGGAAGGAACCUGCAUCGCUCAGGAAGGUAUGCUGUGAUUUUCUAGGGCAGUCUGGGGGAUUUAGACCUACCCUUGAGGUGUUUCAGUACCAAAGCAUCUGUGUUCCACCCAAAAACAUGACCUAUCAUCCCUGAUUUUGUCUUUUGUGAAACCAGCCAAGCAAUUCAGAGCAAAGGCUCCCAAACUCCUUCCUGACUAUCUAAGUCUACUUUAUGAUAUUGCUUUGAAAAGGUUAUCUUGUAAAUGUUGUGUGAGAUUUUAAAAAGAAAAAAAAAAGAUACUUUUGUUUGAAUUCAAUAUGGGGGAAAUAUACUUUGAUUGUUAUUUAUAGUGCUUCAAAAUUAUCAGUAUUAGUUAUGGCUAGAGAGUCUA
Molecule: long non-coding RNA, 2138 nt
Organism: Cygnus atratus (black swan)
Lineage: Eukaryota; Metazoa; Chordata; Aves; Anseriformes; Anatidae
Exons: 10
Source: RefSeq, a predicted model, not a curated record